AAAGAGUGCGUAAUAGCUCACUAGUCGAGUGACACUGCGCCGAAAAUGUACCGGGGCUAAACAUAUUACCGAAGCUGUGGAUUGUCCUUUGGACAAUGGUAGGAGAGCGUUCUAAGGGCGUUGAAGCAUGAUCGUAAGGACAUGUGGAGCGCUUAGAAGUGAGAAUGCCGGUGUGAGUAGCGAAAGACGGGUGAGAAUCCCGUCCACCGAUUGACUAAGGUUUCCAGAGGAAGGCUCGUCCGCUCUGGGUUAGUCGGGUCCUAAGCUGAGGCCGACAGGCGUAGGCGAUGGAUAACAGGUUGAUAUUCCUGUACCACCUAUAAUCGUUUUAAUCGAUGGGGGGACGCAGUAGGAUAGGCGAAGCGUGCGAUUGGAUUGCACGUCUAAGCAGUAAGGCUGAGUAUUAGGCAAAUCCGGUACUCGUUAAGGCUGAGC
RNAcentral lists this ribosomal RNA (435 nucleotides) under Staphylococcus aureus. RNAcentral describes it as "partial 23S ribosomal RNA". It matches the Rfam family "Bacterial large subunit ribosomal RNA", at positions 1125 to 1561 of the family's 2925-position model. The record is from RNAcentral. Lineage: Bacteria; Bacillati; Bacillota; Bacilli; Caryophanales; Staphylococcaceae.